Molecule: ribosomal RNA, 467 nt
Filed under: uncultured bacterium
Lineage: Bacteria
Description: partial 16S ribosomal RNA
Rfam family: Bacterial small subunit ribosomal RNA
Source: RNAcentral
GACGAACGCUGGCGGCGUGCUUAACACAUGCAAGUCGAACGGAAAGGCCCUGCUUUUGUGGGGUGCUCGAGUGGCGAACGGGUGAGUAACACGUGAGUAACCUGCCCUUGACUUUGGGAUAACUUCAGGAAACUGGGGCUAAUACCGGAUAGGAGCUCCUGCUGCAUGGUGGGGGUUGGAAAGUUUCGGCGGUUGGGGAUGGACUCGCGGCUUAUCAGCUUGUUGGUGGGGUAGUGGCUUACCAAGGCUUUGAUGGGUAGCCGGCCUGAGAGGGUGACCGGCCACAUUGGGACUGAGAUACGGCCCAGACUCCUACGGGAGGCAGCAGUGGGGAAUAUUGCACAAUGGGCGGAAGCCUGAUGCAGCAACGCCGCGUGCGGGAUGACGGCCUUCGGGUGGUAAACCGCUUUCGCCUGUGACGAAGCGUGAGUGACGGUAAUGGGUAAAGAAGCACCGGCUAACUACGU